Acanthopagrus latus (yellowfin seabream) is the source of this 461-nucleotide long non-coding RNA. RefSeq lists it as uncharacterized. NCBI's taxonomy places the organism in Eukaryota, Metazoa, Chordata, Actinopteri, Spariformes, Sparidae. The record is from RefSeq and is a predicted model, not a curated record. The transcript is spliced from 3 exons.
CUCGAACAUGUACGGUUCCACUGCAGUCUGUUGUCCGGCAGCCAUUCCUCCCACAAACUCAACCAUUGCCAUGGUCACAGGAUGCUGUCCUCCUGUCUUCCGCAAGGCAGGAAGAGAACAGCUCCGAUUAGUUUUUCCAUCCAUCACUGGACAGCUGAAGCUGCGAGACCGGGGAGUUCCCAUGAUAACUACAUAAUCACUGGCAACCGCAGUUAUAGCUGAAUUGUUGCGCAAUGCAGCGGAGCCAGUGGAAGUUAAUAUAUAUACACUGCUGCUGUGGCAGAGUCGUGAUGGAGCGGAGCUGGACCGGACACAUUCCUGGGAGAAUUUAGGGGUAAGUGCUGUGUUAGAGGCAACUUGAUGUGUUUCCAUUUCUUCAAGAUGUUUCACCUCUCAUCCAAGAGGCUUCUUCUGUUCUCACUAACCGGAGGGGAGUUGUAAACUAUUUGAGAUGUCCUUAA